CAAGGAAUAUUGGGCAAUGGGCGAAAGCCUGACCCAGCGACACCGCGUGGGGGAAGAAGACCUUCGGGUUGUAAACUCCUUUUAUUGGGGAAGAAUAAUGACGGUACCCGAUGAAUAAGCCCCGGCUAACUACGUGCCAGCAGCCGCGGUAAUACGUAGGGGGCAAGCGUUAUCCGGAUUUACUGGGCGUAAAGCGGGUGUAGGCGGCCUGUCAAGUCAGAUGUGAAAUCUCCUGGCUCAACUGGGAGGGUGCAUUUGAUACUGAUGGGCUAGAGUGCAGCAGAAGAAGAUGGAAUUCCCGGUGUAGUGGUGAAAUGCGUAGAUAUCGGGAAGAACACUAGUGGCGAAGGCGGUCUUCCGGGCUGUAACUGACGCUGAGACCCGAAGGCGUGGGGAGCAAACAGG
This 405-nucleotide ribosomal RNA is filed under the name uncultured Dehalococcoidaceae bacterium. RNAcentral's name for it is "bacterial SSU rRNA". It matches the Rfam family "Bacterial small subunit ribosomal RNA", at positions 355 to 776 of the family's 1533-position model. Lineage: Bacteria; Bacillati; Chloroflexota; Dehalococcoidia; Dehalococcoidales; Dehalococcoidaceae. The record is from RNAcentral.